UGGGGGAUAUUGCACAAUGGGGGAAACCCUGAUGCAGCGACGCCGCGUGGAGGAAGAAGGUUUUCGGAUUGUAAACUCCUGUCGUUAGGGACGAUAAUGACGGUACCUAACAAGAAAGCACCGGCUAACUACGUGCCAGCAGCCGCGGUAAAACGUAGGGUGCAAGCGUUGUCCGGAAUUACUGGGUGUAAAGGGAGCGCAGGCGGACCGGCAAGUUGGAAGUGAAAACUAUGGGCUCAACCCAUAAAUUGCUUUCAAAACUGCUGGCCUUGAGUAGUGCAGAGGUAGGUGGAAUUCCCGGUGUAGCGGUGGAAUGCGUAGAUAUCGGGAGGAACACCAGUGGCGAAGGCGACCUACUGGGCACCAACUGACGCUGAGGCUCGAAAGCAUGGGUAGCAAACAGG
Molecule: ribosomal RNA, 404 nt
Filed under: uncultured bacterium
Lineage: Bacteria
Also listed under: 2 other names
Description: bacterial SSU rRNA
Rfam family: Bacterial small subunit ribosomal RNA
Source: RNAcentral